Helianthus annuus (common sunflower) is the source of this 294-nucleotide long non-coding RNA. RefSeq lists it as uncharacterized. NCBI's taxonomy places the organism in Eukaryota, Viridiplantae, Streptophyta, Magnoliopsida, Asterales, Asteraceae. The record is from RefSeq and is a predicted model, not a curated record. The transcript has 3 exons.
GGAACAGGUGGAUUUGAUCCAAGAUUUAAGAUUUGAAACUACAACAACUAGAAUUAAAGCUACCCCUGAUGGCGAAUUUCUCAUUGCUUCAGGUAUUUACUCUCUACAAGUUAAAAGUAUAUGAAUUAAGAGAUUUAUCGUUGAAGUUUGAAAGGCAUCUGGUAUCGGAGAUUAUCAAUUUCCAGGUGCUGAGUGAUGAUUAUUAUUCAAACCUUGCAUUCCUUUGUGGUGAUGGUCUUUGGUUUGUAGGUAUGCUAAUCUAUAAUCUAUCUAUCUAUCUAUCUAUCUAUCUUU